GUGUAACAGAAGGAGCUCCCUUCCUCCAAAACGAAGAGGACAAGAUUUGAGGAACUAAAAAGCAGAAUCUAAGAGUUCAUGGAUUCCUCAUAGAGAGUGCGUAGGUUAACAAAGCACACUUUCAUGGGAUUGCAUGACCUCUUAGAUUCUUUCUUCUAUAUCUAUCCUUCUCUUCUCUUCGUUUGGAUUGAAGGGAGCUCCUUUUCUUCUUUUC
Molecule: non-coding RNA, 214 nt
Organism: Arabidopsis suecica
Lineage: Eukaryota; Viridiplantae; Streptophyta; Magnoliopsida; Brassicales; Brassicaceae
Source: the annotation of a GenBank genome assembly